UCAGAGUUUGAUUGGCUCAGGAUAAACGCUGGCGGCGCACAUAAGACAUGCAAGUCGAACGGACUUAACCAUUAGUUUACUAUUGGAGCGGUUAGUGGCGGACUGGUGAGUAACACGUAAGCAACCUGCCUAUCAGAGGGGAACAACAGUUAGAAAUGACUGCUAAUACCGCAUAUACCCAAGUGUCACAUGGCACAAUGGGGAAAGGAGCAAUCCGCUGAUAGAUGGGCUUGCGUCUGA
RNAcentral lists this ribosomal RNA (240 nucleotides) under uncultured bacterium. Its description in RNAcentral is "partial 16S ribosomal RNA". It matches the Rfam family "Bacterial small subunit ribosomal RNA", at positions 1 to 240 of the family's 1533-position model. The record is from RNAcentral.